Musa acuminata AAA Group (dessert banana) is the source of this 348-nucleotide long non-coding RNA. RefSeq lists it as uncharacterized. The transcript is spliced from 3 exons. Lineage: Eukaryota; Viridiplantae; Streptophyta; Magnoliopsida; Zingiberales; Musaceae. The record is from RefSeq and is a predicted model, not a curated record.
GGGUAUUCCUCGGUUUCACCUGUUGUCAUGCUUGUGAGGGACUCAAGCAAAUUAGACUGUCGGCAUUCCCUGCGGUACUCAAGUGUCAUGCUGGUGAGAUGAUAGUCCUCUAGCACAUUCAUCGGCACGCUCUGCAACAGGGUUGGUUGAAGUUGUCGACAUGCUGGUCAAUUAUGAGGAUCUAGCAUUGUACUGGGGAUAUGCGUGUGAGAGAGAAAAGAAGAUGAUGGUAUGCAAACAAAAAGUAGAAGUGGAGCACCUGCAGGAGAUUCAUGAGGGUCUCCAUGGUUGCAGUUUUGUCAGGGCCAAUCUCAUAAGAUCUGAUCACAAAGGUCUGCCUGUAAACAA